ACUGCUUCCUUAGGGUUUUAUUAACCCUUCCGCGCCGCCGUUUUCAAGAACUCCCCAUGGCUUUAAUCGCCGUCCUAGCCUCCGAUCGUGACGGAAAAUGGAGCAGAACGCGAUAAGACCGAGUACAUGCUUGGAGGAGCACAUGCGCGCCAUUUGCGGCGGCGUGCGAGGGUGAGAUUGCUGCGGCGGCUACUAGGGUUUCUGCUAUACCCUUUGUGUUUUUUGGGCUAGCAGAUUAGGGUUUACUUUUUUCAAAUGAGAUUAAACAAUUAAAGAUGAAAAUUAAAUAAAACUAUUAUAUUGUGAAUAUUCUUACACAACUAAAUGGGUAAAAUGUAUACAACUCCUAAGCGUUGUAUUAAUUAUAUUUUAGAAUAAUUAAA
Gossypium raimondii (Peruvian cotton) is the source of this 383-nucleotide long non-coding RNA. RefSeq lists it as uncharacterized. NCBI's taxonomy places the organism in Eukaryota, Viridiplantae, Streptophyta, Magnoliopsida, Malvales, Malvaceae. The transcript is spliced from 2 exons. The record is from RefSeq and is a predicted model, not a curated record.